AUGAACGCUGGCGGCGUGCCUAAUACAUGCAAGUCGAGCGAACGGACGAGAAGCUUGCUUCUCUGAUGUUAGCGGCGGACGGGUGAGUAACACGUGGAUAACCUACCUAUAAGACUGGGAUAACUUCGGGAAACCGGAGCUAAUACCGGAUAAUAUUUUGAACCGCAUGGUUCAAAAGUGAAAGACGGUCUUGCUGUCACUUAUAGAUGGAUCCGCGCUGCAUUAGCUAGUUGGUAAGGUAACGGCUUACCAAGGCAACGAUGCAUAGCCGACCUGAGAGGGUGAUCGGCCACACUGGAACUGAGACACGGUCCAGACUCCUACGGGAGGCAGCAGUAGGGAAUCUUCCGCAAUGGGCGAAAGCCUGACGGAGCAACGCCGCGUGAGUGAUGAAGGUCUUCGGAUCGUAAAACUCUGUUAUUAGGGAAGAACAUAUGUGUAAGUAGCUGUGCACAUCUUGACGGUACCUAAUCAGAAAGCCACGGCUAACUACGUG
Molecule: ribosomal RNA, 496 nt
Filed under: uncultured bacterium
Lineage: Bacteria
Description: partial 16S ribosomal RNA
Rfam family: Bacterial small subunit ribosomal RNA
Source: RNAcentral